Molecule: ribosomal RNA, 252 nt
Filed under: uncultured bacterium
Lineage: Bacteria
Description: partial 16S ribosomal RNA
Rfam family: Bacterial small subunit ribosomal RNA
Source: RNAcentral
UACGGAGGAUGCGAGCGUUAUCCGGAUUUAUUGGGUUUAAAGGGUGCGUAGGCGGAUCGUUACGUCAGUGGUCAAAUUGAGGGGCUCAACCCCUUCCCGCCAUUGAAACUGGCGAUCUUGAGUGGAAGAGAAGUAUGCGGAAUGCGUGGUGUAGCGGUGAAAUGCAUAGAUAUCACGCAGAACCCCGAUUGCGAAGGCAGCAUGCCGGCUUCCUACUGACGCUGAAGCACGAAAGCGUGGGGAUCGAACAGG